CGACUUUGAAUCUUAUUGUAAUUCCGACCCAAUUUUCUGGGUAUCCAAUAGGAAACGCUGGUGUUGCGAGAUUAAGGGGAAGGGAAAACCGGCAAAUUAGACCACGAAUCUGUACUAAUGCUUUCUGUUUAUAAGCAGAAGCUCAAACAGGAAGUACCCGUGACUUGCUUCUUUGAGAAAUUGACAUCAUAAUCAGAGAUUAUGCUACAGGACUGCUUUGCUAGCGCUGAUUGGAAUAUGUUCCGAGACGCCGAUGACAACAUCGAGUUAACCACCUCCUUCACUGACUUCAUUUGGAAAUGCAUCGGUGACAUUAUCUCCACAGUGAUGGUUCGCUGCUUCCCCAAUCAAAAGCCUUGGAUUAACACAGAGGUUGGCGCUAAACUAAGGGCCAUCGCAGACAACUCUGAGGCUACGGCUGAGGACAGGAACAAGUACAAGAAGUUUCGCUAUGACAUCUGCAGCAUCAAACGAGCAAAAGGACAAUAUAACAAUAAGGUGGAAUCGUAUUACAUAGGUGCCGAUGCCCCCCACCGGUAUGUGGCAGGGGCUACAUUCCAUUACGUAUUACCACGGAAGACCCAGCCAUGAUCUGCCUAACUAUGCCGCUCUACCAGCCGACAAUAAAACUGUCACGCGUCAUUUCAAUCUCUCCUUGUCCCAGUCUGUAAUCCUCCCAUGUCUUAAGCUGACCACCAUCAUUCCUGUUCCCAAGAACUUUAAGGCUUCAUGCCACAAUGACUACCGCCCUGUAGCACUCACAUCUGUAAUCAUAAGGCACUUUGAAAGGCUGGUUAUGCCAUACGUCAACCGCAUCAUCUCAGACACCCUAGACCCACUCCAAUUUUCAUACCACCCCAACAGAUCCAUAGACGACGCAAUCUCAGUUGCACUCCACACUGCCCUGACCCACCUAGAAAAGAGGAAUACCUAUGUAAGAAUGCUGUUCAUUGACUACAGCUAAGCAUUCAACACCCUUGUCCCCUCCAAGCUUGUCACCAAGUUUAGGACCCUGGUACGCCCUCUGCAACUGGAUCCUGGACUUCCUGAUGGGCCGAGCCCAGGUGGUGAGGGUAGUCAGCAUCACCUCCGCCACGCUGACCCUCCUGUAAUCCCCUGUUCACCCACGACUGCUGGCUACGCACGACUCAAGCACCAGCAUCAAGGUAAGUACAAAACCUGGUGGAGUUGUUGUUCAGCAGCGUCGUGGGAACCCCCCUACCAUAUCAGAAGCUGUUUCAGAAGGCUGAGGCAGUGGCCAUACACCAGUUCUGCUUCAGAGUAAUGGAGGAUACUUGAAUCAGGAGGUGACACCUCCAUUGUGCCAAUGGACUAUUCCUGGGCUCGAGAGCUGGGCCGGAUAUAGGAGCCGAAUUUGGGCUCCUUCAUGACCAGUAUCUGUGAUGAGAGGAGCCUGGAGAUGAUCUACAC
Molecule: long non-coding RNA, 1431 nt
Filed under: Salmo salar (Atlantic salmon)
Lineage: Eukaryota; Metazoa; Chordata; Actinopteri; Salmoniformes; Salmonidae
Description: lncRNA (ENSSSAG00000087515.1, ENSSSAG00000110246.1)
Source: RNAcentral